AACGCAUAUUGUGCUCUUUGGUAUUCCGAAGAGCAUGCUUGUUUGAGUAUCAGUAAACACCUCAACCUCUCUUUUUGACAAAAAAAGGAGGGUGGACUUGAGCUAUCCCAACGACCUUCACUGGUAGGCGGGCGGCUUGAAAUGCAGGUGCAGCUGGACUUUUAUCUGAGCUAAAAGCAUAUCUAUUUAGUCCUCGUCAAACAGGAUUAUUACUUUUGCUGCAGCUAACAUAAAGGAUAAUUGUCCUCUUUGCUGACUGAUGCAGGAUUUUAUGACACUUUAUGUGUUGUUCAACUCGAUCUCAAAUCAAGUAAGACUACCCGCUGAACUUAA
RNAcentral lists this unclassified non-coding RNA (333 nucleotides) under uncultured Mortierella. RNAcentral's name for it is "sequence contains ITS2". Lineage: Eukaryota; Fungi; Mortierellomycota; Mortierellomycetes; Mortierellales; Mortierellaceae. The record is from RNAcentral.